UGGCCGCCAUACUCAGUAUCACUUGGGAAUGGUGACGUCGGUGGGGUUAUGAAGAUCUUUCUCCAAACCCUCACAGCCAACCUUGGGAUUUGCUUCAUCCUUGUGGAAGGGGACGGUUCUUGGGGAACGCGACUUCCCAACGGCUCCUGGACUGGAAUGGUCGGCAUGUGUGAGCGAGGGGAAGUGGACUUUGCCUUGGGACCAAUGGGGAUCAGCGAAGACCGGUCAGAAGUCAUGGACGUUAGUGUUCCGCUGUUCAUGGACCAGCAAACAAUAGCUUAUAAGCGUCCCGAGCUACAACCCGAGCUUGCAGGGUUUAUCAAGCCCUUUA
Scylla paramamosain (green mud crab) is the source of this 331-nucleotide long non-coding RNA. RefSeq lists it as uncharacterized. The transcript is spliced from 3 exons. Lineage: Eukaryota; Metazoa; Arthropoda; Malacostraca; Decapoda; Portunidae. The record is from RefSeq and is a predicted model, not a curated record.